AACGAACGCUGGCGGCGUGCUUAACACAUGCAAGUCGAACGGAAAGGCCCUGCUUUUGUGGGGUGCUCGAGUGGCGAACGGGUGAGUAACACGUGAGUAACCUGCCCUUGACUUUGGGAUAACUUCAGGAAACUGGGGCUAAUAUCGGAUAGGAGCUCCUGCUGCAUGGUGGGGGUUGGAAAGUUUCGGCGGUUGGGGAUGGACUCGCGGCUUAUCAGCUUGUUGGUGGGGUAGUGGCUUACCAAGGCUUUGACGGGUAGCCGGCCUGAGAGGGUGACCGGCCACAUUGGGACUGAGAUACGGCCCAGACUCCUACGGGAGGCAGCAGUGGGGAAUAUUGCACAAUGGGCGGAAGCCUGAUGCAGCAACGCCGCGUGCGGGAUGACGGCCUUCGGGUUGUAAACCGCUUUCGCCUGUGGCGAAGCGUGAGUGACGGUAAUGGGUAAAGAAGCACCGGCUAACUACGUG
This 468-nucleotide ribosomal RNA is filed under the name uncultured bacterium. Its description in RNAcentral is "partial 16S ribosomal RNA". It matches the Rfam family "Bacterial small subunit ribosomal RNA", at positions 28 to 507 of the family's 1533-position model. The record is from RNAcentral.